AUUAGCUUGUUGGUGAGGUAACGGCUCACCAAGGCUGUGAUGGCUAGCUGGUCUGAGAGGAUGACCAGCCACACUGGGACUGAGACACGGCCAGACUCCGUACGGGAGGCAGCAGGUGGGGAAUAUUGCGCAAGUGGGCGAAAGCCUGACGCAGCGACGCCGCGUGGGUGAUGAAGGCCUUCGGGUCGUAAAGCCCCGUCGCAGGGGAAGAAUAAGCAUCGGUAUAAUACGCCGGUGCCCUGACGGUACCCUGCAAGAAAGCACCGGCUAACUCCGUG
RNAcentral lists this ribosomal RNA (278 nucleotides) under uncultured bacterium. RNAcentral's name for it is "partial 16S ribosomal RNA". It matches the Rfam family "Bacterial small subunit ribosomal RNA", at positions 240 to 507 of the family's 1533-position model. The record is from RNAcentral.